This 775-nucleotide ribosomal RNA is filed under the name uncultured Neocallimastigales. RNAcentral describes it as "partial large subunit ribosomal RNA". It matches the Rfam family "Eukaryotic large subunit ribosomal RNA", at positions 24 to 634 of the family's 3401-position model. The record is from RNAcentral. Lineage: Eukaryota; Fungi; Neocallimastigomycota; Neocallimastigomycetes; Neocallimastigales.
UUAUCUCUGUAGAGUCUGCAUAUCAAUAAGCGGAGGAAAAGAAACUAACUAGGAUUCCCUCAGUAACGGCGAGUGAAGCGGGAAGAGCUCAAAUUUGAAAUCUUCAAGGUUUUACCUUGACGAAUUGUAGUUUAAAGAAGUGUUUUCUGUUGAGGUUUUGGUAAAAGUUCUUUGGAAUAGGACAUCAUAGAGGGUGAGAAUCCCGUAUUUGACCAUUAUUUCCAGCUUUGUGAUACACUUUCAAAGAGUCGGAUUGUUUGGGAAUGCAGCCCAAAAUGGGUGGUAAAUUUCAUCUAAAGCUAAAUACUGGCGAGAGACCGAUAGCGAACAAGUACCGUGAGGGAAAGAUGAAAAGAACUUUGAAAAGAGAGUUAAACGGUACGUGAAAUUGUCAAAAGGGAAGCGUUUGACACCAGUGUUGUUUUCUCGAAAAUCAAUUAAAAAGAAUCGGAUUUUGUGUUGUUAAGACCUUAUCAGCUUUCUGCACUCUUUUCUUAUUCUUUUUAAUGCACUUUUCGUUUAACAAGUCAACAUCAAUUUCUUUUGUUGUAAAAGAGUCAUUGGAAGGUGGCUUCCACUUCGGUGAAAGUGUUUAUAGCCUUUGGCUUCUGCAAUCGGAGAGAUUGAGGUCUGCAGCGUAGAUCCUCCGGGGCUAGAUACGUAGAUGCUAAGUUAUAGUUUUUUAUAGACAACUUGUUGACUAUAAUUAAUCAUGUAGCUUACUCGUUUGCGCUAUUUUACCUACGCUUAGGAUGUUGACGAUCAGCUGAGCGCG